GGCCAGACUCCUACGGGAGGCAGCAGUGGGGAAUAUUGCACAGUGGGGGAAACCCUGAUGCAGCGACGCCGCGUGAGCGAUGAAGUAUUUCGGUAUGUAAAGCUCUAUCAGCAGGGAAGAAAAUGACGGUACCUGACUAAGAAGCCCCGGCUAACUACGUGCCAGCAGCCGCGGUAAUACGUAGGGGGCAAGCGUUAUCCGGAUUUACUGGGUGUAAAGGGAGCGUAGACGGUCCUGCAAGCCAGAUGUGAAAGCCCGGGGCUCAACCCCGGGACUGCAUUUGGAACUGUAAGGCUAGAGUGUCGGAGAGGCAGGCGGAAUUCCUAGUGUAGCGGUGAAAUGCGUAGAUAUUAGGAGGAACACCAGUGGCGAAGGCGGCCUGCUGGACGAUGACUGACGUUGAGGCUCGAAAGCGUGGGGAGCAAACAGGAUUAGAUACCCUAGUA
RNAcentral lists this ribosomal RNA (446 nucleotides) under uncultured bacterium. RNAcentral describes it as "bacterial SSU rRNA". It matches the Rfam family "Bacterial small subunit ribosomal RNA", at positions 329 to 792 of the family's 1533-position model. The record is from RNAcentral.